RNAcentral lists this long non-coding RNA (410 nucleotides) under Medicago truncatula (barrel medic). Its description in RNAcentral is "lncRNA gene24871". The record is from RNAcentral. Lineage: Eukaryota; Viridiplantae; Streptophyta; Magnoliopsida; Fabales; Fabaceae.
AUGCAUCACAAUAGACCUUCAAACAAACUUGAAACCUCAAUAGACCAAAGAGAUAACAAUUUUUUACAGUUUUUCAUCUUAAGGAAAUGACAAAUGUUUCUCAAGUCCAGACAACACAGAAGGAGUAACCAUACAAAUUUUAUAUGAAUGUACUCGGUCCUUAAAUUCAAAUGGUGACUAAAACCCAACAAAUAGGUGCAGAACAGGCUACAUACCUUUGAAUGUAACGAUUUAUUGCAGUUCAAGCUUGAAUCUCCUUAGACAUCAUUUGAGAAGCAAAUUUCUGAACCUUCCGGAUGAUAUUUUCUCUUCAUAGAUGGGAUGAUUAAGCAUCAGCAAGUUAUUGUCAUUGACAACGGCUCUCACUAAUAACUCUUUUGCUUCCUCAUGCCUUUUUUUCAGCAUGUUAC